GGAGCAAACAGCUAUGGGUCAAGCCCGACAUCUUUAGGAGAAGUCUUAUUGUGAGGGCGAGUUGUAAAACACCAUAGGGCUGGCCGUCCCAUAUGAAAAGAUUUUAUUAGAAUUGAAUGAAACUUUGUUUAUAUAUUGAUAAUGACAGUAUAUAUAUCGUGUCUUGACUAAUUGCGUGCCAGCAGUCGCGGUAAUACGUAAGAGACUAGUGUUAUUCAUCUUAAUUAGGUUUAAAGGGUACCCAGACGGUCAAUAUAGCUUAUAAAAUGUUAGUACUUGACUAGAGUUUUAUGUAAGAGGGCAGUACUUGAGGAGGAGAGAUGAAAUUUCGUGAUACCAAAGGGACUCUGUAAAGGCGAAGGCAGCCCUCUAUGUAAAAACUGACGUUGAAGGACGAAGGCACAGAGAACAAACAGGAUUAGAUACCCAAGUAGUCUUUGCAGUAAAUGAUGAAUGCCAUAGGUUAGAUUAAUAGUUAAUGUAUAUAGGCUAGUAUAAUAGACUAUACAUUAAAAAUUAUUUGGUCUAUAAAUGAAAGUGUAAGCAUUUCACCUCAAGAGUAAUGUGGCAACGC
RNAcentral lists this ribosomal RNA (574 nucleotides) under Fusarium acuminatum. RNAcentral describes it as "SSU rRNA". It matches the Rfam family "Bacterial small subunit ribosomal RNA", at positions 328 to 894 of the family's 1533-position model. The record is from RNAcentral. Lineage: Eukaryota; Fungi; Ascomycota; Sordariomycetes; Hypocreales; Nectriaceae. RNAcentral also lists the same sequence under 2 other names.